AGAGUUUGAUCCUGGCUCAGGAUGAACGCUAGCGGCAGGCUUAACACAUGCAAGUCGAGGGGUAACAUUGUAGCUUGCUACAGAUGACGACCGGCGCACGGGUGCGUAACGCGUAUACAAUCUACCUUAUACUGAAGGAUAGCCCAGAGAAAUUUGGAUUAACACUUCAUGGUAUUACACAAUCGCAUGGUUAUGUAAUUAAAGGUUACGGUAUAAGAUGAGUAUGCGUCCUAUUAGCUAGAUGGUAAGGUAACGGCUUACCAUGGCAACGAUAGGUAGGGGCCCUGAGAGGGGGAUCCCCCACACUGGUACUGAGACACGGACCAGACUCCUACGGGAGGCAGCAGUGAGGAAUAUUGGGCAAUGGAGGCAACUCUGACCCAGCCAUGCCGCGUGCAGGAAGACUGCCCUAUGGGUUGUAAACUGCUUUUAUACAGGAAGAAACACUCCCUCGAGUAGGGAGCUUGACGGUACUGUAAGAAUAAGGAUCGGCUAACUCCGUGCCAGCAGCCGCGGUAAUACGGAGGAUCCAAGCGUUAUCCGGAAUCAUUGGGUUUAAAGGGUCCGUAGGUGGAUAAUUAAGUCAGAGGUGAAAUCCUGCAGCUCAACUGUAGAAUUGCCUUUGAAACUGGUUAUCUUGAGUCAUUAUGAAGUGGUUAGAAUGUGUAGUGUAGCGGUGAAAUGCAUAGAUAUUACACA
RNAcentral lists this ribosomal RNA (699 nucleotides) under uncultured bacterium. Its description in RNAcentral is "bacterial SSU rRNA". It matches the Rfam family "Bacterial small subunit ribosomal RNA", at positions 8 to 703 of the family's 1533-position model. The record is from RNAcentral.